RNAcentral lists this long non-coding RNA (1656 nucleotides) under Triticum aestivum (bread wheat). Its description in RNAcentral is "long non-coding RNA (TAES_LNC004311)". Lineage: Eukaryota; Viridiplantae; Streptophyta; Magnoliopsida; Poales; Poaceae. The record is from RNAcentral.
AACAUCGAGCUCGACCCGAAGCUCCACUCCGACGUCGCCGUCCAGCCGGUCCUCGCGGACGCUAGCAGAAGCUCCGGUCGCCCAGGGGCACAUAUUCGAGUUCGCUGUGUUCCUCCUCACCUCGUCCUGUUCUCCCCUAGCUUGGGAGACCUCUCCAGCGAGCGCACGCUCGAAGUCCGAGCCGGCCACGCCGUCUUCCUCAACUCCGGCGGCCAUCGAGCCAUGUCUCUCCGUGAGUCGCCUUGCACCGUCCGAUCCCCAUCCAAUGGCCAAGAUUAGAUCUGGUGUUUUUUUCUUUGCCGAACCGUUUUUCUCUAUGUUGUGGCCGUUUGUCGUUUAAGCCUCGCAGCGAAUGGUUCUCAGCCAUUAAUAGCCCGCCACGUGACAACGCCUCAGCAGCCGCGGCAGUUCUUCCAAGAACGCUAUUAUGGCAUAAUUUUUCUUUACAGAUUUCAUAUCAUAUUUUUGUUUAGGUAUAUCUUGAGAUCUGUAACUCCGAAUUCAACGAUUCUUUUUCCUGUGUACUCGUAGAUACCAGGAGAAUACCUUACAACCAAAAAAUUCACAUCUUUUGCACUAUUUAAAUUUGAAUUUGCUCAAAUUUUAAUUCAACCUUCUAGAGGCCAUAUCUUUCAAACCAUUUAUCCAGAUCAGUUGAUUCUUUUUGCAUUGUGAUCCUACUAGCAUGUAGACAAUAUUUACCUACUGUUAUGUUAUGUCAAUGAAAUUUUUAUUUGAAUUCCUUGUUGUUUACUUUAUUUUAGGGUUAUGUGAGCAUAGUUUAUUUAUCGAUGACUCCGUUAAUCGUAUAGAUGUCCAGAAUGUGAAGCGGAUCAGAAUUAAGCGUUAGAGUACUUCAACAUCGUUCAAGGCAAGUUUGCACUUUUGAUCUUGCUCAUCCUAUAUUCUGCUAUGCAUGUGUGAUUUUUAUGCUAUUACAUGUGCUUGGUUUGAUCUGUAUGUUCUCUGUUGUCAUAUUCUGAUAUUGAUUGUGUUAUGUGAUGGUGUGAUCAACUUGCUAUGGUAGACGUGGGCAUGUGUCGAGUGAUGCAUGGAAGUGGUGAGUGUUUAUAGCUGUAGGUUCCGGACUUUGACUCGGGUGAAUGCGUCAAUGGCUGAGCGCUCUAUUGUCCCUAGAGAAUGCGCCAUGACUGAGUGCACUUGAGUUGUCGGGGCUUUUUCUCAUGUGAAUGCAUCACUGGCUGAGCGCUCUAUUGUCCCUAGAGAAUGCGCCAGGGCUGAGCGCACUUGAGACAUCUUGAAGAUCCUUAAUGUUUGCACCUUGCCUAUGUCGUGGAGGUAGGUGAAGAUAGUUUUACGCGAAACCAAACUUGAGUGUUUUGUUUGUCAUACUUUGCAGUUAGAUGUAGGUUUGCUUUAUCAUUAUGUGUAAUUUGCCAAUACAUUCAAUGUAUUGACCCUUUGUGGCUGCAACUUAUUAUGUUGCAGGAUUUUCAGAUGAUCAGUGAGAUAUAGUAGGGUCGCGAGUCUUCACUCAACAUCUUCUCCAGUGGGCAUUGAUGGACUCAUCGUUUAUUAUGCUACCUUUCCGCUGUUAUUAUUGAAUAAGUUAGCUAUGUGCUACUCAGUUUGUAAUACCUUAUGAAUUCUGGAUCAUACGUUAUAGUAAAUGAUGCACUUGUUAUUUGAUAUUCA